GGGGACGACUGGCUGGUGGAAUCCUUGCGCUUGUACCAGGAUUUCUAUGCAUUCGACCUGUCAGGAGCCACUCGAGUCCUUGAAUGGAUUGAUGACAAAGGUGGAGUCUUUGUUGCUGGCUAUGAAAGCCUGAAAAAGAAUGAAAUUCUUCAUCUGAAAUUACCUCUCAGACUUUCUGUAAAGGAAAACAAGGGCUUAUUCCCAGAAAGAGAUUUCAAAGUGCGCCAUGGAGGAUUUUCAGACAGGUCUAUCUUUGAUCUAAAGCAUGUGCCACAUACCAGAUUGCUGGUUACCAGUGGCCUUCCAGGUCCUAGAUGCAGACACCUUUGCCUUCUGCUGUGCUUCAGGCCGGCUGGGGCUUGUUGACACCCGGCAGAAGUGGGCACCGUUGGAGAAUCGCAGCCCUGGCCCUGGGUCUGGUGGAGAGAGAUGGUGUGCUGAAGUUGGGAGCUGGGGCCAGGGCCCUGGGCCCAGCAUUGCCAGCCUUGGCUCAGAUGGGCGUCUUUGUCUUCUUGACCCCCGGGAUCUCUGCCAUCCUGUGAGCUCAGUCCAGUGCCCAGUAUCCGUACCUAGCCCUGACCCAGAGCUGCUGCGAGUGACUUGGGCCCCAGGCCUGAAGAAUUGCUUGGCCAUCUCAGGUUUUGAUGGUACAGUCCAGGUCUAUGAUGCCACAUCUUGGGAUGGAACACGGAGCCAAGAUGGAACACGGAGCCAAGUAGAACCUCUCUUCACUCACAGAGGUCACAUCUUCCUAGAUGGAAAUGGGAUGGACCCUGCUCCUUUGGUCACCACCCACACCUGGCAUCCCUGCAGACCAAGGACUUUGUUAUCAGCAACAAAUGAUGCCUCUCUGCAUGUGUGGGACUGGGUGGACCUUUGUGCCCCCCGCUGACACCAGCAUCUUUCCAUCUAGGCCUCUAGAAAGGGGAGGAGCUGCUGUAGUAGCAAGGGUGCUCAUGUAGGACUCAAGUGACUACCAGUCCCUGUUACCAGCUGUGUGGCCUUGGGCAAGUCUGCCAGCGUCACUUAGCCUCAGUUUCCUUAUCUGUAAAAUGAGGAUAGUAAGAACUACCUCGUAGUGAUAUUGCGAAGGUUAGAAGAAACGCAUGGCAUAAUUACUUGGUAGCUAUUGUUAGAUCUGGGAGUGUGAAAUGGUAGCGUUUUGUCCCUGUCUUCACACUAUCAUAGGGAGAAUCAAAAGAGC
This 1204-nucleotide long non-coding RNA is filed under the name Homo sapiens (human). RNAcentral's name for it is "long non-coding RNA NONHSAT171866.1". Lineage: Eukaryota; Metazoa; Chordata; Mammalia; Primates; Hominidae. The record is from RNAcentral.